GUGCCUUAAACUAAUGAGUAAGGAAAAUUACAAGCCUUGGUGAUGCUUGGCUUUGCUUAAUGCACCAAAAGUCGUUUCGGCGACUUUUGCUAAGCGUUAAUUUUUUUAAGGGUACAGGUCGUCCUUUUGAGCUAUUGCCUACUUUGCAUAGCUUGAGUGAAGCGAUCUACCCA
Molecule: small nuclear RNA, 173 nt
Organism: Bradysia coprophila
Lineage: Eukaryota; Metazoa; Arthropoda; Insecta; Diptera; Sciaridae
Product: U12 minor spliceosomal RNA
Source: RefSeq, a predicted model, not a curated record